GAGGGUAUAGCUCAGUGGUAGAGCACGUGCUUAGCAUGCACGAGGUCCUGGGUUCCAUCCCCAGCACCUCG
Molecule: transfer RNA, 71 nt
Filed under: Camelus ferus (Wild Bactrian camel)
Lineage: Eukaryota; Metazoa; Chordata; Mammalia; Artiodactyla; Camelidae
Rfam family: tRNA
About the family: Transfer RNA (tRNA) molecules are approximately 80 nucleotides in length. Their secondary structure includes four short double-helical elements and three loops (D, anti-codon, and T loops).
Source: Rfam by way of RNAcentral